RNAcentral lists this ribosomal RNA (253 nucleotides) under uncultured bacterium. RNAcentral describes it as "partial 16S ribosomal RNA". It matches the Rfam family "Bacterial small subunit ribosomal RNA", at positions 524 to 776 of the family's 1533-position model. The record is from RNAcentral.
UACGAGAGGCGCAAACGUUAUUCGGAUUUACUGGGCUUAAAGAGUUCGUAGGCGGCGCAGAAAGUAGGGUGUGAAAGCCCUCGGCUCAACCGAGGAAUUGCGCUCUAAACUACUGUGCUUGAGGAAGCUAGAGGUGAGCGGAACUGAUGGUGGAGCGGUGAAAUGCGUUGAUAUCAUCAGGAACACCGGAGGCGAAGGCGGCUCACUGGGGCUUAUCUGACGCUGAGGAACGAAAGCCAUGGGAGCGAACGGG